This 216-nucleotide ribosomal RNA is filed under the name Glomeromycotina sp. RNAcentral describes it as "partial small subunit ribosomal RNA". The stretch from base 40 to 216 matches the Rfam family "Eukaryotic small subunit ribosomal RNA", at positions 686 to 864 of the family's 1831-position model. Lineage: Eukaryota; Fungi; Glomeromycota. The record is from RNAcentral.
GGGUCAUUAGGUUGGUCGUGCCACCGGUACGUACUGGUCUCACUGAUUCCUCCUUCCUGAAGAACCGUAAUGCCAUUAAUUUGGUGUUGCGGGGAAACAGGACUGUUACUUUGAAAAAGUUAGAGUGUUUAAAGCAAGCUAACGCUUGAAUACAUUAGCAUGGAAUAAUGAAAUAGGACGAUCGAUCCUAUUUUGUUGGUUUCUAGGAUUGACGUA